Molecule: non-coding RNA, 4429 nt
Organism: Odocoileus virginianus texanus
Lineage: Eukaryota; Metazoa; Chordata; Mammalia; Artiodactyla; Cervidae
Source: RefSeq, a predicted model, not a curated record
CAGGCUCGGCGCGACGUGGAGGCUUGGAGGCGGCGGCGAUGCACUAGGCCUCGCUCUGGGGCGGCUGCCCGGGACCCGCAGUUGAGUGGUGAUUUUAUGCAAUGGCUUCAAGCCACAGUUCUUCACCAGUGCCUCAAGGAAGCAGCAGUGAUGUUUUCUUUAAAAAAGAGGUAGACCCGACAAAACACGUUCGACCUGUGCAGUCACUGCCAGAUGUGUGUCCCAAGGAACCCACAGGUGAUUCAAAUAGUUUAUGUGUUGCCCCAUCUCUAGUUACAGAUCAACAUAGAUGGACUAUAUAUCAUUCCAAAGUAAAUCUCCCAGCAGCAUUAAAUGAUCCUAGAUUAGCAAAAAGAGAAUCUGACUUCUUCACAAAAACAUGGGGAUUGGACUUUGUGGACACUGAAGUCAUACCUUCAUUCUACCUCCCACAGAUCAGCAAGGAACAUUUUACAGUAUAUCAACAGGAAAUCUCUCAGAGAGAGAAGAUUCACGAGAGAUGCAAGAAUAUUUGUCCCCCUAAAGAUACCUUUGACAGAACUCUCUUACAUACUCAUGAUAAAUCCAGGACAGAUCUGGAGCAAGUACCUAAGAUUUUUAUGAAACCAGAUUUUGCCUUGGACGAUUCCUUAACUUUUAAUUCAGUUUUACCAUGGUCUCAUUUUAAUACUGCUGGUGGAAAAGGAAAUCGUGAUGCAGCUUCCUCAAAGUUGCUACAAGAAAAGCUGAGCCAUUAUCUGGAUAUUGUGGAAGUAAACAUUGCUCACCAGAUCUCUCUACGUUCAGAAGCAUUUUUUCAUGCAAUGACCUCUCAACACGAAUUGCAGGACUACCUCAAGAAAACUUCCCAGGCUGUAAAAAUGCUUCGAGAUAAAAUUGCACAGAUUGAUAAAGUAAUGUGUGAAGGAUCACUACACAUUUUAAGACUGGCACUUACCAGAAAUAAUUGUGUUAAAGUAUAUAAUAAACUGAAAUUAAUGGCCACUGUACACCAGACUCAGCCUACAGUACAGGUGUUGUUAUCUACUUCUGAAUUUGUUGGAGCAUUGGACUUAAUAGCAACAACACAAGAGGUUCUACAGCAGGAACUUCAGGGCAUUCAUAGCUUCCGGCAUUUGGGAUCACAGCUUUGUGAAUUAGAAAAACUGAUAGAUAAAAUGAUGAUUGCAGAAUUUUCUACUUAUUCUCACAGUGACUUAAAUAGACCAUUGGAAGAUGACUGUCAAAUUUUAGAAGAGGAAAGACUAAUCUCUCUUGUGUUUGGACUUUUAAAACAAAGAAAACUUAAUUUUUUAGAAAUAUAUAGUGAAGAAAUGAUUAUUACAGCAAAGAAUAUCAUUAAACAGUGUGUGAUUAAUAAAGUUUCACAAAUAGAAGAUAUAGACACAGAUGUUGUUUUGAAGCUUGCAGAUCAGAUGAGAAUGUUGAAUUUUCCUCAGUGGUUUGAUUUACUAACGGAUAUUUUCUCCAAGUUUACAAUUUUCCUACAGAGAGUUAAGGCAACCUUAAAUAUCAUUCAUAGUGUUGUUCUCUCAGUUCUUGACAAAAACCAAAGGACUAGAGAAUUGGAAGAGAUUUCACAACAGAAAAAUGCUGCAAAAGAUAAUUCACUAGACACAGAAGUGGCUUAUUUAAUCCAUGAAGGCAUGUUUAUAAGUGAUGCAUUCAGUGAGAGUGAAUUAACACCUAUAGCCAUAGAUUCUACCUCUCAAAGAAAUGCAUCUCCAAAUAGUGAGCCCUGCAGCAGUGAUUCUGUAUCUGAACCAGAAUGUACUACUGAUUCUUCAUCCAGCAAAGAGCAGAUAUCAUCAUCUGUUACUCCAGGAGCUGUGGAUAUUAUGGUCAAUGAAGAUGUGAAAUUAACUGACUUAGAGCUAGGAAAGCUGGCAAAUAAUAUCCAGGAGUUAUUAUAUAGUGCCUCAGAUAUAUGCCAUGAUCGAGCCGUCAAAUUUCUCAUGUCAAGAGCUAAGGAUGGUUUUCUUGAGAAGCUAAAUUCCACGGAAUUCAUAUCACUUUCCAGAUUAAUGGAAACAUUCAUUUUAGAAACUGAACAGAUAUGUGGAAGAAAAAGCAUGUCAUUACUUGGAGCACUUCAGAGCCAAGCAAAUAAAUUUGUAAAUAGGUUUCAUGAAGAGAGAAAAACCAAACUCAGCCUUCUCUUAGACAAUGAACGCUGGAAGCAAGCUGAUGUUCCUGCAGAAUUUCAGGAUCUUGUUGAUUCUAUAUCAGAUGGAAAGAUUGCUUUACCUGAAAAAAAAUCAGGGGCUACAGAAGAUAGAAAACCAGCUGAAGUUCUUACUGUUGAGGGGCAACAGUAUGCUGUAGUUGGAACUGUAUUGCUGUUGAUAAGAAUUAUCCUUGAAUAUUGCCAGUGUGUGGAUAAUAUCCCAUCUGUUACUACUGACAUGCUCACUCGUCUAUCAGACUUAUUGAAGGUGCUGAACAUGACUGAGGCCACUUAGGUCAAAAAACCUGGACUGGUUUCAAAUGUGCAUGGAAGGAAUUCACUGAACUUUACAAAAUUCAUCUCACUAAGUACUUCAAUUCAAGAAGUUGCCAGUUAGUUCUUGGAGCUGGUGCACUGCAAGUUGUUGGACUAAAAACAAUAACUACAAAAAAUCUGGCUCUUUCUUCACGCUGUUUGCAGUUAAUUGUGCACUACAUUCCUGUGAUCCGGGCUCAUUUUGAAGCUCGACUGCAACCUAAGCAAUACAGUAUGCUUAGGCAUUUUGAUCAUAUCACUAAGGACUACCAUGACCACAUAGCUGAAAUAUCAGCUAAGCUUGUAGCGAUAAUGGAUAGCUUAUUUGACAAGCUGUUAUCUAAGUAUGAAGUGAAAGCUCCCGUUCCUUCUGCCUGUUUCAGGAAUAUUUGUAAGCAAAUGGCAAAAAUGCAUGAAGCUAUAUUUGAUCUCCUUCCUGAAGAACAAACGCAAAUGUUAUUUUUAAGAAUUAAUGCAAGUUACAAACUCCACUUGAAAAAGCAGUUAUCUCACUUAAAUGUGAUAAAUGAUGGAGGACCUCAAAAUGGGUUGGUCACAGCAGAUGUAGCUUUUUACACUGGAAAUCUUCAAGCCUUAAAAGGCCUUAAAGAUUUGGACCUAAAUAUGGCCGAGAUAUGGGAACAGAAAAGGUGAUGACAUACUGGAAAACUGGGCAGUUCAUCUGACCAGGGGAUGUGUGUUUAUGAUGGAAACAUGGACGCCUGUGACUGAAGAACUGAAUCUGGAGCCCACAGUGAACCGGGAUUGGGGAAGGGGAAAAGGAGUGUGUCAGUGUUGGGAAACUGGGAUUCAGUGGGAUCUACAAGGAAUGCCAUUUGUGUGCUUCCUUCAGUGAGGAGUAACUGAUCAGGUGUCUAUAACAUUUUUCAUUCUCUCUGGAAACAGACUCAGGUUUCUUUGGACCAAAUCCAAAAGAACACAUAGCUGUAACACAGCUGUAGUUGACUAGAAUGCUCUGUAUACUUUAUAUUAAAAAAUGCUUUGCAUUUCUUCCAGUGCAAUGAAAUUCAUACGGUGUCCCACUUUAUUUAAUGAUGGUACAAUUUAAAAUAUUAAAAUCUUACUCAACCUCUGUAGAAAGUUUUCUCUAUGAAAGUAAAGCUGUUUGAAAAUUAUUUUUUUACAGAUCUUUCUAUAAAAAAUAAACAUCUUUUAAUUGCUUGGAUUUAGGAAUUCAGUUUUUGUUUUAGUGACCAAUGUUAAGUUUCAGGCUUUGUGUGUUGCAAAUUUAAUCUUUUUAUCACCGCUGUAUGUCAGCUGCAUAAAAGCCUUCCAGAAUAGUCUAAAUACUUGAAAGGCUGAUCACAAGUAAUAAUAAAAGAGUAAGAUUUUGGUGUUUAUUUAUGCAACUAUUAAUUUAAAUACUUAUCAGAUGUGGUAUAUGAAAGCCUGCAGUUUAACAGCUGUAUUUUUAUAAAAGCAUCUAUGAAGGGUUGGGGUGUUUUUUUCCUUUUUAUUUUUAGAGGCAAGAAUACAUUUUCAUAUAUUCUGCCUAAUCUUGAGUUCUCAUUUUAACAUUUAGAUAACAUUGAAGUAUGCCCCCCCUUGGGUUCUUGUUUGUAAGUUACUUUCAGUGUGUAUAUGAACAAAGACCAGGGAUAGAUAGAACUUUUAAAAUAGAGGCUGCUGUGUUGGGGCCAGAAAUAUAAGGUGAUGAGUAAAUUAUUUAAAUUAAAGACUUUUAUAAUACCUACCUUCAAAAUUAGAACUAAAUGAAAGUGCCUGUGCCUCACUUCACACCAGGAACCUUGCCUAACCCUGUCAGAGUGCCUAACCUUGUGGUGAUUAUGUACAAUGAAAUAGUCUUAUUUUGUGCUCUUUGGUUUCCUAAAAGGAAAGUCUGUUUUCUUUCCUUUAUCCUUAUUACAGAGGUAUGUCAUUGGUUCUUAAACUGUCUGUCUAAAAUAAAGCUGUAAAAAAUUAUCA